AUUUUCUCCCUAUGUCGUUUGUUUUCUAUUGAAGGCUAAACUAUUAGUAAAAAUCUCAACUUUACCAACUCAUGAUAGUGAAAGGAGCAUCAAAGCUAGGACAGGAAAGAAAACAAGUGAGCUGGAAUUGGCUGAAACGCGGUUACAACUUGAGCUGGUUAAGCAGCUGGAUCUGGAUACGACACUUUUGUGCAGUUUUGAUGAGAACAAUGUAAAAUCCUUGAAGCUCUACGAGGAAAAGUUCACUCUUUCUCUCUUUAUUUUAGUUUAUUUUUAUCUUUUAAUAUUUGGGUUUCUUGGUUUUGUUGCUCAUUUUGAUUAAAAGAUGGAAACUUGUUAUAGUUUUAAUGCCGUUCUUAACCGGUUUCAGUCACAAUCUUCAAAAGCAAUAAUGGGUUUUAAGUACAAAUUUUGGUGUUGGAGAAUGGAGAUCAUGUAGAUUGAUGAAAGCUUAAACUUCUGCUUUGCGAUAUGUAGAUGGUGCUUAAACAGUAGCAGAGGAAUUACAUAGAUGAUGCUUUACCACAUGUAGUAAAAGGGUUUGCCUUUGUUCUUUGAUGAAGGCAUUUCCAGUCUCCAGACCAGACAAGCAUGGUCCUUUUUCUUGUUGCUUAAUCUGAUACUGGCAGAAGCAAAUUACUGUCACACAUAAUACAUACCACUACUAGGUAAUUCCGGCAAUUCCAUCCCACUGAGUAUGGAGUGAACAUCCUUGACCAAUGGGCCAAACACCGGAGUUGUUUACAACUUUGAGAAAUGCUUCUAUGUGUAGCGAGGAAGUUGCUAUGUGUUCUUGAAUCUUGAAAGCAGGUUUCUAUAAUAUUACCCUCAAUUUCAUUGUGCUAUGCGUGAUAAGAUGUAUGAGUCCACCGGCAAUAGACACUGUGUGCACCAAUUAUACGUCUCCACUCGACAGUAUUUGUUGUUGGGGGUUGCCUGGUAGCCAUAAAGCUCUAACCCUACUCUAUCCCCUGCUUUGCUUUGCAUUGCUAAAGCCCCUGCCAUUUCAGCUGCAAUGAUGCUAAAUUCCUUCCACAAACAUCCUACUUUAUUGUGCUUGCUUUUAGCGACUUCAAGUUUAGCAAUGGAACAGUUCCUUUCUUUAAAUAAUGAAACAUAAGCUAUCCAAUACUAGGACAUAGCAUUUCCCAUAAAUGAUGAUCACCAGGCUUCCCUACCCUCCAGCCUACGAUUGGGAAAUUCUCAAAUAGUUUUUCUUUCUCAAGGAAUUCUUAAAAUUGUUAGUAAUUUGAAAGCAAAAGUGUCCAUGGCCCGGUCGGGUCAAGUUAGAUUUGGGUCCAUGUAUGUUAUUAAAACGCUUCAUAUUUGUUAAGUUUAGUUCGACUUGAAACAUAGAUAUCAAAAUUUUGUCAAGUUCA
This is a long non-coding RNA of Gossypium raimondii (Peruvian cotton), 1379 nucleotides long. RefSeq lists it as uncharacterized. The transcript has 2 exons. Lineage: Eukaryota; Viridiplantae; Streptophyta; Magnoliopsida; Malvales; Malvaceae. The record is from RefSeq and is a predicted model, not a curated record.